UUUAAAAAAUUUUAUAGUUAUCACUAGCUAAAACUUUAUAUUUUUUACAAUUAACCACGUAAGUAUAUAUUUCAUCAAUUUAGGCUUCGUUUGGGAUUGCGGGGAGAUUGCGUUACGUGUGGUGAGAAACGACGAUGGAAAAAUAUCCUAUUUGUUUUCGUACGUAAUAUUGCGUUCCGCAUAUCGCGAUGAGUCCGUUACGAUAUAUUUUCUGCGGUCCCACCGGAGAACGCAGAAGCAUAUCCUUAAAUGCUUUUUCCUCAACUCCAUUCUAUCUAAUAGCGUUAAAUAGGCCUCAAUACCAAACUAAGCCUUAAAGUGAAACCAUCGACCUGAAUGGGUCAAACUGGGUUGUAAGCCUCCGAUUUUUCUAGGUUGAACCGAACUAGUUUGGGCACUAGAUCAUAGUUCGACAAGAGCGACUAACUGGUGAGAACCAAAUUUUAAAAUAUUAAUAUAUAAUUUCAUUUGUAUCUCCCUUCUAAUUAAUCCAUAAUUACAUAAAUGUUUAUCUCAAACUAUCAAUAUUAAAAUAUCUCUAUAAUUUAAGAAAAUAUAAAAAAAAAAAGCUGGUGAAAAUUUCCUUUAAAAUUUACCAAAAUUUCCACUUUAUCCUUUAACAAUUAAAAAUAAAUUAUUAAUAUAUACAAAACUGAUACUAAUUCAUUGUAACAAAUUAAACGAUAUAAAUACUU
This 695-nucleotide long non-coding RNA is filed under the name Ananas comosus (pineapple). Its description in RNAcentral is "long non-coding RNA (ACOM_LNC037729)". Lineage: Eukaryota; Viridiplantae; Streptophyta; Magnoliopsida; Poales; Bromeliaceae. The record is from RNAcentral.